AGUGAACGCUGGCGGUAGGCCUAACACAUGCAAGUCGAACGGCAGCACAAGAGGGCUUGCUCUCUGGGUGGCGAGUGGCGGACGGGUGAGGAAUACAUCGGAAUCUACUCUGUCGUGGGGGAUAGCGUAGGGAAACUUACGCUAAUACCGCAUACGACCUACGGGUGAAAGCAGGGGACCUUCGGGCCUUGCGCGAUUGAAUGAGCCGAUGUCGGAUUAGCUAGUUGGCGGGGUAAAGGCCCACCAAGGCGACGAUCCGUAGCUGGUCUGAGAGGAGGAUCAGCCACACUGGGACUGAGACACGGUCCAGACUCCUACGGGAGGCAGCAGUGGGGAAUAUUGGACAAUGGGCGCAAGCCUGAUCCAGCCAUACCGCGUGGGUGAAGAAGGCCUUCGGGUUGUAAAGCCCUUUUGUUGGGAAAGAAAUCCAGCUGGCUAAUACCCGGUUGGGAUGACGGUACCCAAAGAAUAAGCACCGGCUAACUUCGUGCCAGCAGCCGCCGUAA
RNAcentral lists this ribosomal RNA (506 nucleotides) under uncultured bacterium. Its description in RNAcentral is "partial 16S ribosomal RNA". It matches the Rfam family "Bacterial small subunit ribosomal RNA", at positions 29 to 523 of the family's 1533-position model. The record is from RNAcentral.